UACGAAGGGUGCAAGCGUUACUCGGAAUCACUGGGCGUAAAGCGUGCGUAGGCGGUUCGUUAAGUCUGCUGUGAAAGCCCUGGGCUCAACCUGGGAACUGCAGUGGAUACUGGCGGACUAGAGUGUGAUAGAGGAUGGUGGAAUUCCCGGUGUAGCGGUGAAAUGCGUAGAGAUCGGGAGGAACACCAGUGGCGAAGGCGGCCAUCUGGAUCAACACUGACGCUGAGGCACGGAAAGCGUGGGGAGCAAACAGG
RNAcentral lists this ribosomal RNA (254 nucleotides) under uncultured bacterium. Its description in RNAcentral is "partial 16S ribosomal RNA". It matches the Rfam family "Bacterial small subunit ribosomal RNA", at positions 524 to 776 of the family's 1533-position model. The record is from RNAcentral.